RNAcentral lists this ribosomal RNA (342 nucleotides) under Triticum aestivum (bread wheat). RNAcentral's name for it is "partial small subunit ribosomal RNA". Lineage: Eukaryota; Viridiplantae; Streptophyta; Magnoliopsida; Poales; Poaceae. The record is from RNAcentral.
AUGCCGGAGCUGCCAACGCUGGAUGAAGAUCUGCUACAAUCCCAGGUGCCAACGGCCAUUCUUCAACGACGCACGGUGCAGCGAGGCGCGCGACAAGUCGAUCAAGUACUCGUGCAGUGGUCUGGCUUCCCCUCGUCGCUGGCUUCCUGGGAAGAUGCAAUUCCCUUGCAGGCGCGUUUUCCUCGGGCGUUGGCUUGGGGACAAGCCAAAACUAAAGGGGGAGGAAAUGUCACGAGAACUACGGUGGCGGACCCCAAGGCCGGCUCCGCUACGGCCCAGCCCAGGCCCAGGCGGGAGAGGAGGCCCAACUCGUGCGUCACCGGACCGACCUGGAGCAAGUGA